RNAcentral lists this ribosomal RNA (515 nucleotides) under uncultured bacterium. RNAcentral describes it as "partial 16S ribosomal RNA". It matches the Rfam family "Bacterial small subunit ribosomal RNA", at positions 28 to 523 of the family's 1533-position model. The record is from RNAcentral.
GAUGAACGCUGGCGGCGUGCCUAAUACAUGCAAGUCGAGCGAAUGGAUUAAGAGCUUGCUCUUAUGAAGUUAGCGGCGGACGGGUGAGUAACACGUGGGUAACCUGCCCAUUAGACUGGGAUAACUCCGGGAAACCGGGGCUAAUACCGGAUAACAUUUUGAACCGCAUAGUUCGAAAUUGAAAGGCGGCUUCGGCUGUCACUUAUGGAUGGACCCGCGUCGCAUUAGCUAGUUGGUGAGGUAACGGCUCACCAAGGCAACGAUGCGUAGCCGACCUGAGAGAGUUAUCUGCCACCCUGGGGCUGAGACACGGCCCAGACUCCUACGGGAGGCAGCAGUAGGCAAUCUUCCGCAAUGUACGAAAGUCUGACGGAGCAACGCCUCGUGAGUGACGAAGGCUUUCGGGUCGUAAAACUCUGUUGUUAGGGAAGAACAAGUGCUAGUUGAAUAAGCUGGCACCUUGACGGUACCUAACCAGAAAGCCACGGCUAACUACGUGCCAGCCGCCGCGGUAA